AGAGUUUGAUCAUGGCUCAGAAUCAACGUUGGCGGCGCGCUUAACACAUGCAAGUCGAACGAGAAAGUGGAGCAAUCCAUGAGUAAAGUGGCGUACGGGUGAGUAACACGUGGGUAUCCAUUCUUUGGUGGGGAAUAACUCUGGGAAACCGGAGCUAAUACCGCAUAAGUCCGAGAGGAGAAAGGUGAAAAUCGCCGAAGAGGGAGCCCGCGGCUGAUUAGCUAGUUGGUGAGGUAACGGCCCACCAAGGCGAAGAUCGGUAGCCGGCCUGAGAGGGCACACGGCCACACUGGCACUGAGACACGGGCCAGACUCCUACGGGAGGCAGCAGUGGGGAAUCUUGCACAAUGGGGGCAACCCUGAUGCAGCGACGCCGCGUGAACGAUGAAGCCCUUCGGGGUGUAAAGUUCUUUCGGCAGGAACGAUAAUGACGGUACCUGAAGAAGAAGCUGCGGCUAACUACGUGCCAGCAGCCGCGGUAAUACGUAGGCAGCAAACGUUGUUCGGAGUUACUGGGCGUAAAGAGUACGUAGGCGGUUUGCCAAGUUUGGUGUGAAAUCUCCUGGCUUAACUGGGAGGGUGCGCCGAAUACUGGCGGGCUUGAGUAUUGGAGAGGAAAGCGGAAUUCCUGGUGUAGCGGUGAAAUGCGUAGAUAUCAGGAGGAACACCGGUGGUGUAGACGGCUUUCUGGACAAUCACUGACGCUGAGGUACGAAAGCGUGGGUAGCAAACAGGAUUAGAUACCCUAGUAGUCC
This 755-nucleotide ribosomal RNA is filed under the name uncultured bacterium. RNAcentral describes it as "bacterial SSU rRNA". It matches the Rfam family "Bacterial small subunit ribosomal RNA", at positions 8 to 796 of the family's 1533-position model. The record is from RNAcentral.